This 569-nucleotide ribosomal RNA is filed under the name uncultured bacterium. RNAcentral's name for it is "partial 16S ribosomal RNA". It matches the Rfam family "Bacterial small subunit ribosomal RNA", at positions 355 to 914 of the family's 1533-position model. The record is from RNAcentral.
UGGGGAAUUUUGGACAAUGGGCGAAAGCCUGAUCCAGCAAUGCCGCGUGUGUGAAGAAGGCCUUCGGGUUGUAAAGCACUUUUGUCCGGAAAGAAAUCCUUGGCUCUAAUACAGUCGGGGGAUGACGGUACCGGAAGAAUAAGCACCGGCUAACUACGUGCCAGCAGCCGCGGUAAUACGUAGGGUGCAAGCGUUAAUCGGAAUUACUGGGCGUAAAGCGUGCGCAGGCGGUUUGCUAAGACCGAUGUGAAAUCCCCGGGCUCAACCUGGGAACUGCAUUGGUGACUGGCAGGCUAGAGUAUGGCAGAGGGGGGUAGAAUUCCACGUGUAGCAGUGAAAUGCGUAGAGAUGUGGAGGAAUACCGAUGGCGAAGGCAGCCCCCUGGCAAGUACUGACGCUCAUGCACGAAAGCGUGGGGAGCAAACAGGAUUAGAUACCCUGGUAGUCCACGCCCUAAAACGAUGUCAACUAGUUGUUGGGGGAUUCAUUUUCCUUAGUAACGUAGCUAACGCGUGAAGUUGACCGCCUGGGGAGUACGGUCGCAAGAUUAAAAACUCAAAUGAAUUGAC